This 5249-nucleotide long non-coding RNA is filed under the name Triticum aestivum (bread wheat). Its description in RNAcentral is "long non-coding RNA (TAES_LNC021923)". Lineage: Eukaryota; Viridiplantae; Streptophyta; Magnoliopsida; Poales; Poaceae. The record is from RNAcentral.
CCUGAUAUAUUCCUUCGUUUCCUGGUAAGUUUACCUACGAUGGUUGUGUGCUAGGUAAUAGGCUAACUCUUUUGUUUGAAUCAUUAUCAUUAACUCAUUAGCUCUACUCCUAAUGUCUGAGUUGGUAGGAUUGCGUCCACGGCUUUUUUCGUCCCACCACUUUCAUCUGGUAUUUUUUCGUCCCCUCCCCCAACCCCACCCCACCUACUCAGCCCAACAAAACCCCCCAAAAAACCACUCCUAUCGAUACCUCGAGGACAUGACGCGAUCGUCGUGCGAUCUCGAGGUCAGAGCACUGCCUCCCCUCGAUCGCCACCUCUGACGUACGAUCUUGCCGCCACCGACCUCACAGAGGAGAUGCUGCCGCAGACGUCCAGGAACACCGCCGCGGACGUCCGGGAUCGCCGCCCCGACCUCCCAGAGGAGAUGACGCCGCCGCCGACCUCCGAGGGGAGACGCCGCCGCCACCUGCGCUAAAUCCUAGGCAUACACCACCGUGCUCCCGCCGUCGGGUUCCACAACCGUUCGCCACCAUGCUAUUGCCUUCCUCCCUCAGGUUCAUCUCCCCUUUUUUCUGUUUGGAUCAAGACGGCGAGAAUCAAAUCUGAGACGGAGAGAAUCGGAUCAGGAUAGAGAGACGGAAUGAGGAUUGAUGCCAUGGGAUCCCUUGCUAAAAUUGAGAGGGAGGGAGGGAGGGAGGGAAAGGGUAUCCUUGUGCAGGGCUGUUUGGACCUCGUUCAGUCCAUUUUAGCAUGAAAAAAGUUGCCACGGGCUAAUGCAACGGCCUGCACGGCACACCACGGCCUGCUACCUAAGGGUUUGCCUCAGUUUUCCGUUUUUUGGGUAAAGCAAAUUUCCCCCAAUAUACAGAUAUGCUAUGACAUAAACAUGUCAAAACCAUCAAGGUUAAAUUUAUAUGCACUGGAAUUUUAUAGAUUUGUUUUAGCAUGUGCAAGUCUAUUAGAUAGUAUUUUGGACAGAGUUAAGGAUAGUCUUUUGUGGCUAACUAUAGUAUUUUGUGGCCUAAGUGUAUAAGUGAAAUGGCCUAAUCUAUGUACUCCGGUGAUUGUUGGAUCUGCAUGGGAUGACAGAUGGGAGGGGGGCAGUUACAAUGUCACUUGCUACUGGAUCUCGGUCCACCGAGCAGCCGCUUCUGAGAAGAGAAAAUGUUCUAUAUUGACAUGCAUGUGAUUAAUAAUGAAUGGUACAUGGUUCCUACACUUAGUUGAUAUUGUGUUUAAAUUUUCUUUACUUGAUCAUGUUACUUGCAGGAAAUUGCCAUAUUUGGACACAGAUUCCUGAUUUCCUCACUUCCUCAAGGCGAAGAGGCGAAGGCUAUUGUCGAUGUGCGAAUGUGGCACCACUACUCUUUACUGUGAUGAGGAGGUACAACUUCUAACUGAGUGUGAAUUCAAUACUAUCUUUAUUUUGCAAAAGCUAUACUGGUCUUCGUGUUUAUUAUGCAUUAUUCCUUUUAGACUUUAGGAUUGCUAUAUUCAAGUUUUGCUUCUGGCCUGCUUUGGAUUAAGGUAGAUAUUUGUUCACGGGCCGAAAAAUCUGAUUUUGGUUAUGCAGUUCAUUUUCUUACAUCGCACACGACAAAGUAGUAACUAAUUACUUUACCCAGGAUGAGAUAUUUGGAUGAAAUUGGACUUAAGUUUUUGCAAGCUUGAUGCACACUUAAAUACUGGUGAUAUCACAUUCAUAACUAAUUUGAUUUCUCCCAAGCUACAGUAUGGUCACUACUCUAUUUCUUGAAGGAUAAAUCGAUAUUUAAAUAAUUGACGUAUUCUAGCAGCAUAUGAAGUUAAAGUAGAGGUAGAACUAGAACCGUACAAGUACUUUGAUGUCGUGUGUCAUGUACUGUGAUCACAAGACAAUUUGAAUGUUCUACCUUAUUUACAGUUUACUCAUGCAAGCUUCUUUAAUUUGAAAUAAAAAUGAGUAUUCAGCCAGACGAAUUGCUCUUACAGUCCAUUCCUGUUGAACAUGUAUGUUUCUAGGAUGAUACCAAUUCAAAUGGUUUCUUGGUUUCUUGAAUGACAGGUUUGCAAACCUUUAUACGAGUUUUGAGUUUCGACCACAUCUAAAAUGAUUUCUAUGUAGAUGAGUGACUUGCUACAUGUGUGGUGAAAUGUGUUUUUGACCACAUUUAAAAUGAUUUCUAUCUAACUUUACUCAGAUUCAGUGAAGGAGAAUCUAAUGAGGAGUCGGAUGUGCAGUCAUCAAAAGCCCCAUGACAAACUCUGUGCCUGUCGCUCCCAUCAACAACAACCAAAUGGUGUAACAUUCCUUAGGUCUUCAUGCAUUUAACCUAUUAUUACUGGACUGGUUUUGGUAAGCCAACUAAGAAACAUUUUGAUCUCAAAAAAUAAUAUUUGUAACUAAGGAGCAAUAUCACGGCAAUCUUUGGUAAGCAAAAGUACUCAGAUUUUUUUGGUAAGCCAACUAAGAAACAUUUUCAUCUACCAAAGAAACUCAGAUUUCUUUAAAGGACAGACCCAGUGCAUAGAAGCUCCCACACAAGGUGGGGUCUGGGGAGGGAUUAUAGGAACCUAGUCUUACCCCUGCAAAGUGCAAUGCAGAGAGGCUGGUUCGAACCCAGGACCUCUUGGCACAAGUGGGGAGGACUUCACCAUUGCGCUAGGCGUGCCCUCAAAGAAACUCAGAUUUCUUUGGUAAAUAAAAACUAAGAAACAUAUUUUUACAAAGAAAACUUUGGUAACCAACAAAUUUAGAUCAAUUGAAGUAUUUAAUCAAUAAUUUUCUACAGUAUGUUUACUGAUAUAGGUGGCACAAUAGAACGAAAUGCUGACCAGGCCAGCUAACUUAAUCAGCCUGGGAUCAACUUCCUAAACCCGACACUCCUUCCUAACACACCAUCCUUCCAUGUUGUCGAUCCUUCGUUCCCCGUCUCUGAUCAUAUCUGAUCUAGGGUUAAUAGUCAUUCUUUUUGUGCUUCUCCCACAAAAGCUUUUUCCUGCAAUAUGCAUCAAUUCGUCUUUUCCAGGAUUCUCAGAGUUCACGUUCGCAAGGAACUCACAAAUCUUGGUGGCUAAAAGGUGCCCAAGCUUAGGCAACAACACUCCGGCCACAACAAUUUCGUCAGCCAUAGGAACCACACCUCCAAAGGCCUGAGCGAGAGUGAGCGUGUGUCGACCAUGCCUGGACCACCACUCUCCACAUAUGUAUACUACGGCUGGCUAGGCUCCAAUAGAGGCUGAGAGACUCCUAAUAUAUGGUCCGUAGUCAUUUCAUUUCGCUACAUUGAUCGAAGCCGCGAGUCAAUCGAAAGGAAAUCCCCCACCGUCGAAGGAAGUCAAUCUCACCUCGAGUCCCGACCCCACCUCUCGUUUUCCCUUCCUAAUCUCCCGAUAAAGAUCCACAUCCCUCCUCCACCGCCAUCUCCAUCCUCUGCACCCCUCGCCUUUGCAAUCCAUCCUCCAUCCAGUUUUCCUUUUGUUUUCUAUCCCAAAAAAUCAGAUCGCAAUCCAUCUUUCCUUUAAUGCACAUCUCUCCUGUAAAAAAUCAGAACACAUGCCCGUCCUUCUCAUUAACAUGCGUUUCUUCUGAAUAUCUGGGAUGCAAUCCUCUCCUUCCCACUAAUCUCUUAUAUAUAUGCCUUUCCUAAAGAUAUCUCGGUCCUGCCCAGCUUGAUCUAAUUCAAUUUAGAUGAAGGAUACUUUCAGGAACAAGACGAUCUACUCAAAGGCUGGCUUGCUCCGCGGCCUCCACCUCGCCCACCUCAUCCCGUAGACAUUGUCGUCCUCCACACGACCACACCAGCUUUCACGAUUUGGGUCUAUGGCAGGCAUAAACUAUGAGAAUUUGACUGGUCGUUUUCAUCGCAGGCGGCUGCGGCGAGGACGUGUGGAAGGCAACAGCUCGGACUUGAUGCCCUUUGCCUCCGUCAAGGACACUGUCAAUGGUGCGUAAUCUCAAACCUCCUUUUGACGUAUUUGUGCUCGUGAAACAAGUAUUCGGCCUGGCCGAUGGCAAAACGCAAAUAUGGCAAAGCUGGCUUGACUUGAGAUGGAUUGAAUCUGGUACAACGUGGCUAGCCAAAAGGUGGCUAGCAAAGCACGCACACACACUGGCAUGUGUAACAUAUUUGUUGUUUGUAAACUCACAAUGAUUACAAUGUGAGCUACAUGCAUUUAUACUAACAUAACAUCAUCUGCCUAAGUAGAGUUAGGAUUUCUAUACUACUUGAACAAUCAAUGAGAUCUAUAGGAAAGCGGAAGAGAGAACUAGCAAGCCGGUGAUUUUACUGUUUUAUCUAGAUUCAUUGUGCUAAAUCAAGUAGUUCUAACCUAGCUGUUACAGGAUUCACCGAUUUAGUCCAUGUUUUGCUUUUCCAGUUUUAGUGAAUGGGGUGGAUUUUGAAAUCUCAUAUUUCAGUUAGUUUUUGGUCGGUCAGCUUGAGUAGUAGGGUCCGUUUGGAUGGAAGCCGUUAACUGAGGACACAUGCAAGCGUUUGGAUGGCUGCCCAAAAUUCUGAUGUAGCCAAUUUUUUGUUUAAUACAUUCAGUUUUUCCACAAACCACGGGGCGAUUCAGCGGAGGCGAAACCUUCUGCUAAAAAGUUGGCACGCCUAGCGUUGGCAGGGCGGUUGCAGGCGCUAUCCAAACAACCCCGUAUUCUCUUUUUUUUUCUCAGUUGGUAUUUCAUAUAGGCCACCUUGCUAUGUUAUAUAAGAUACUCAUAUAGGAGGUCAAGCUUGAAAAAGGUAGAAUUUUCAACAAGUCAAGAAUCAUGUUAACCAGGUUGUCAUGAUAUUUCCGCUGCUUCAAAAUGCUCCAUGAGAUGUUAGGUAACAUGCCUCUGAAUGUUGAUUUCUUUUUACAGAAUUUUGACUGUUUAUGUAGACUUUGGUUCAUUAUGACAACGGCAAAGAUCACUUUGAGGCGCUCGCCAUGGCAGACGGGGAUGGGGUGGCGCCGGGUACACUGUUGAUAACAAAAAUGUUGUGACGGUUCCAAAUGAGAACUGAACUUACUGCACUAAUAUUCAGUUAUAUAUCAAGUCGGCAAAUGUUUGUGUGUUCUGUAAAAUAGCAUGGCAAAUUUUAGUCCAAAUGUUGUCUGUCUUCAGUUAUCUAAAAACUAGCAUGGCCAAUUUGUACAUGAUACAAUUUUUCAGCAUGGCAAAUUAGUUAAUAAAUUGUAAAAAAGGUGGUACCAAAUAAACUUGUAUACGGUUAUGUAGCAUCCUAAUUUUUCGUAUAGCAACUAAGCCAUCAGUAUCCU